Molecule: long non-coding RNA, 2230 nt
Organism: Metopolophium dirhodum (rose-grain aphid)
Lineage: Eukaryota; Metazoa; Arthropoda; Insecta; Hemiptera; Aphididae
Exons: 5
Source: RefSeq, a predicted model, not a curated record
AAAUUGUAUUAAUUUGCUAUGUUACGCACUUGUAAGACGGAGAAAACCUAAAUGUAAUAUGUAUAUUGGAAAUUUAAAUUAGAUCUAUAUUAUCUAUAUAUUAAUCAAAGUCAAAAUCUGUUUGUUAUUCUGUCUAAAAUUCAAAAGGGGCUUAACUGAAUCGGUUUAUUUCGUUUUCGUUGUGUUCGUAAAAGGUUUGUACGUAAGAAAAUUCGAGAAAAACCCAACGGAAGAGUAGGAAAUACUUGUGAGCCUGUUCCACCGACACAACUUGCAAUUUUUAGCUUGGCACUUUUCCUUUUCAUUCCACAAUCGAGAAUUGUAUACUUUUCAAUUCAUGUACGAACGUUUUGUUAUUACGUUCCCACAAACACUUUUAAAUUUCUUAUCAUGUUAUCUGACAGCUGUUAUCUCUUUUGCAUUUUAUUUCAUUUACUGUUAAAUUGUCUUAUUCUGUGCUAUUAACAGCUGUUAUCAUCGUUUGAUACUCCGAUCGUCGUAAUAUCUUAAACUUAUUCGCAUUUUACCUACUCUGAAUUUUAAAUGUUCACGUUUUGGUAAAGUGACGAAGUACCUAAUUAAAAAACCAAAGUGAACUGGCAUUGUUAAACGCAAUCCGUGAAAGGAAAGGUGUGUUGCUCGGCAGUUUCAACUCCACAAACAACGUUGAAAAUGUGUUCACAUUAUUGCCCAAUAAUUUUAGCUCGUCUGUGCUGAUCGACCGUGGCAGUUUACCAGAGACAAGCUGUAUGGAUUGAAAUGAGUGACAAUAAAAUAGUUACCUAUGUUUAGUGUUUAUUGGAAAAGGAGGCGGUAAGAAGUGUCAGUACGAUGAAAUUGAUUUGAUGAUACCUGUCACUUGAUAAUAUUGGAAACGAUUCAGCACUAUUUUAAGGCAUUGGAUUGCCUGGAACUUCAACUAGGGCGAAGAUAUAUAAUACCAUUAAAAUGUUAUGGUUAUGAAGGCUUAGCUAAUAAGAAGAAGGUAGAAGCGGAAAUUGCCAACGACAAGCUUGACCUUAUACAAAUAGAAAUUUAUGUAAGGAAACUUAAGGUUUUAAAAUUAUAGAUGGAAUUCUGUAUUCCACCUUCAAAAUUCACUGAAGAUUUUUGUAAAAACCAAGUGGAGGAUCUCUAUUUCUAUGAAGUGGCUUAUGAUCCAGUAACAUUAAACUCUGUAAAAGAACGAUUAUCAUCCAAGAGCAUAAUAUACAUAAUUCACCGAAGUAAUAUUCAAUAUUAAAAGAAUAUAUUCAAGCUCUUUAUUGUAUUACCCUGUUGGUGAUCCAUAUCAUAAAAUGGCUCAGAAACAAGAAAUUUUUUAUUUGAAGUGCUCGCUUAAUGGGUACUACACUACCGAGAUGGUCAUAGUUCCAUAGUACUUCCAAAUAAUAAAAAUGCAUAAGUUUUAAGAAUUAUGAAAUUGUAUGGAAGUAAAUAUUUAGAAUGAUAAGGAAGCCUUAGUUUUUGUAUCUAAGUAUUUUUUAAAAUGUAUUAACUAUUAAUGUAAUUUACAUAUAUUAUAAUAUGCAUUUUUAUGCAGCUCAAUAUAAUUUAUCAAUGAUAAUGAUACCUGUAGCAAACCAGCGUAUUCUUCCCUCGCACGCAAUCGUCGUUCUUUAUCCAAACCUGAAAUGUAUUAAAAUGUUGACUGCCAUGCUGCUGCCGGCAUCUGCAGAGUACUAGGAUACAACAGUAUUUUUACAGACACCGGCGGUCGCACCUUAUUAUUAUUUAUACGCCAUAUGACCGCCCGCUUAACUUUUCCAUAACGCUACAAUAAUGCACUAAAAAAGUGUCGUGGCAUAGCGGAAAUCAUUAUAAUUUUUUUUCAAACAAUAUUAUAUACAAAUUUGUAAUGACACCUUAAAAUAUACUUAGUGUGCCAAUGAUACAUACUGUGUGACCGCCAGCGGGCGCAUGGCAGUCAACAUGUUAAUGGUCUAAUGUUUGGCACGAUUGACUUACCAACUCUCGUAUCACAAAUUAAUUGUAAAGUUCCUCUUCGCCAAAUCGGUUAACACAUUCCAUUUCACAUUCCUACAUCCUCUACAAAUUAUAUUAUGCUCAAUGAACCAUUUUGUAUAUUAAUGUGUGCAGUCCAAUUAGAACCCCUAUUCUGUAGUUUAAUAAAUUAUAUGUAAACACCAUUGUGUACCAUUUUUUUUUUUAUAUAGUUUAAUUGUAUUUAUAUCUACCGUUUAUAAAUCAAGUUUUACCUGUAAAACAA